GGAUUUCCGGAUUGAUUCCACCGGAAUCGUGGCUCCUCGACCCAUUUUUAUUUGGCCCCACAUCGGAAAGAACGGAUCCGCAGCAACCUUGCCCACCAUGGAGGCGGUGAUAGCGGCGGCGGAAGAGAGCGUGCGUGCCCAAUGGGGCUACGAAGACGGUGGUCGUGGCCGAGGACGGGCGAUAUCACCAGGGCGACAACAAUUACGGCGGCGGCAACAACCAUGGCGGCCUGCGGUGAGCGUAGCAACUACGGCGGCCGCGGCGGCCGAGGAGGAGGAGGAGGAGGCCAGAGUCAGCCGCCCCCGACAUGCACCAAGCCGCACUGCCGCAGGGCCUCCCCUCUUCGAGCGCUACCACGCAGAGGCAACACAGCUCGGGAAGAAGUUCCAGGCGAUGGACAUCAGUCGUGCCGCUGUAGAUCCAAUCGACCGGCGAUGGAGCAGUUAUUGGCGUUCCUCCGCGCGGCACCAGAUUUUGAAUUCAGUGUGGUAGAGAACACCCACAAAAUCAUCACAAGGAUUCAUGAACCUACUUUCGAAUGGAAGAAAUGUGAUGUUCAAUUGCCAUUAACCCGAUCGAUCUCUUGCAUGGGGAAGGGGAGACCGAGGAGGAAAUGGCGACCAAGAGGUGCGCAGGCACCCUGGGUGACAAGGGCCUCAGGGGGGAGAAGGUGUUCCUUAGUGCCGAUCUGAACGUUCUGCUGGACGACGGCCUGAACAUCACUGGUGACAACCGCAUCCGCGCCUCCAUGCCGUCCAUCAAGUUCCUCAUGGGGAAGGGCGCCAAGGUUGUCCUGGCCAACCAUCUGGUGAGCGCACGCUUCUGCCAUUCAGUCAGCCUCCCGUGUGGCGCACGACUGUAGCUGCUUGAUGUCGUAAGCAACACCACUGGAUGGCCCAGUCACCCCUUCAUCGCAGACCUCGCUGAAGACUAACCAACUAGACGCAGAUCCAUUUCAUUCUACUAAGUGUCCCAAGCUGUGUAUGCUAGCCUCCUCCGCUACAUUUGCAGGCCGCCGAGUCCAACUCUGCGGUGCAGAUCACCCGCCCACCGCGCUGCGCAACUCACGAUGCAGGCGGCCCUCCUCCACGGUUCAUCAUUCAUGCGAGGGAUAUGAAAGAUGAAACAAAAGUAAAAGGUGUUUAUGCCUACGGGCUAUGGAGCAUCAUAAUGUUGGAGGAGUGUCGUGCCGAUUUUAUAAAUCCAGUAGCAUCCUACUACUCGCAGUUUCUGUGGUUCAAUCAAAUCAAUAGUACAAUUUUCAAAUGAUAAAUUUGUUACGGUUAGAUAUAAUUUUUGAAGUUUCGAGGUUUUGUGAGAUGAGAUGAUGGCUCAUAUAUGUCAUUUUGGCAAAAGUCCCACUACGGUCAUAUCUUGUAGUUCAAUUAGAUAAUGCAGUUUUCAAAUGAUACGUGAUAUGGUGAUAUGCUUUUAUUUAUGUA
Long non-coding RNA from Triticum urartu, 1443 nucleotides. RefSeq lists it as uncharacterized. The record is from RefSeq and is a predicted model, not a curated record. NCBI's taxonomy places the organism in Eukaryota, Viridiplantae, Streptophyta, Magnoliopsida, Poales, Poaceae.